UUUGACCUACGGGAGGCAGCAGUGGGGAAUAUUGCACAAUGGGGGAAACCCUGAUGCAGCGACGCCGCGUGAGAGAAGAAGUAUUUCGGUAUGUAAAGCUCUAUCAGCAGGGAAGAAAAAUGACGGUACCUGAGUAAGAAGCACCGGCUAAAUACGUGCCAGCAGCCGCGGUAAUACGUAUGGUGCAAGCGUUAUCCGGAUUUACUGGGUGUAAAGGGAGCGCAGGCGGUGCGGCAAGUCUGAUGUGAAAGCCCGGGGCUCAACCCCGGGACGGCAUUGGAAACGACCGAACUAGAGUGGCGGAG
RNAcentral lists this ribosomal RNA (305 nucleotides) under uncultured bacterium. RNAcentral's name for it is "bacterial SSU rRNA". It matches the Rfam family "Bacterial small subunit ribosomal RNA", at positions 331 to 654 of the family's 1533-position model. The record is from RNAcentral.